AUGACAGUUAGGCGAGUGACCUCUGGUAUGUUGGGACACGUUUGGGGUCCAGAGCUUAUGGGAAGAUGCAUGCUCCCCACCAGGCGGCGCAGCGCAGCUCCGUGGGUUUCGCUGGCUCCUGGCCCAAGGAGUCCCCGCUUCGACCGAACUCUCAUCCUCCUGCAGCAGCUGUCGGUGAUGCUCCCACUUCAUCUUCAGGAUCUUGUCAGGAGAGGAGCUGCCGCCCUUAGGCUCAUAAGCAAAGGAUGGACGUGUGGAACCGCUCCAGCCUCUAGGUCAGGAGAAACAAGCAGACUCCCCACCGAACCCAAUAGGCCGAAGGCCCGCAACGCCUUCAGUUAAGACGGGCUCAUUCACCCCAAGACUUCGAGCGCGGAGCCGCCGCUGACUGCAAAGAGGUCGGGUGGUGAUGGAGCCUAGUUCCGGCCCGCGAAAGCAAGCCCCUUUCUACGUGCGGACCACCAGCCCCACGACCGCCCGGGCCAUCCACCGCAGCCGCCCGCACUUGAUCCGAAACAAGUACCGCCGGAGUUGCGCGCGGCCGCCAUCCGCAGAGCGCGCGCCAUCC
RNAcentral lists this long non-coding RNA (568 nucleotides) under Capra hircus (goat). RNAcentral describes it as "lncRNA (ENSCHIG00010015327.1)". The record is from RNAcentral. Lineage: Eukaryota; Metazoa; Chordata; Mammalia; Artiodactyla; Bovidae.